This 253-nucleotide ribosomal RNA is filed under the name uncultured bacterium. Its description in RNAcentral is "partial 16S ribosomal RNA". It matches the Rfam family "Bacterial small subunit ribosomal RNA", at positions 524 to 776 of the family's 1533-position model. The record is from RNAcentral.
UACGGAGGGGGCCAGCGUUGUUCGGAAUCAUUGGGCGUAAAGGGCGCGUAGGCGGCCGAGCAAGUCGGACGUGAAAUACCCCGGCUCAACUGGGGAAUUGCAUCCGAAACUGCUUGGCUUGAGUCCUGGAGAGGGUAGUGGAAUUCCCAGUGUAGCGGUGAAAUGCGUAGAUACUGGGAGGAACACCGGUGGCGAAGGCGGCUACCUGGACAGGUACUGACGCUGAGGCGCGAAAGCUAGGGGAGCAAACAGG